GGUUGUAGCUCAGUGGUAGAGUGCUUGCCUCGUACGUGUGAGGCCCCGGGUUCGAUCCUCAGCACCA
Molecule: transfer RNA, 67 nt
Filed under: Marmota monax (woodchuck)
Lineage: Eukaryota; Metazoa; Chordata; Mammalia; Rodentia; Sciuridae
Description: tRNA.Thr
Source: RNAcentral